Quercus lobata is the source of this 1224-nucleotide long non-coding RNA. RefSeq lists it as uncharacterized. The record is from RefSeq and is a predicted model, not a curated record. The transcript is spliced from 3 exons. Lineage: Eukaryota; Viridiplantae; Streptophyta; Magnoliopsida; Fagales; Fagaceae.
UUAUGGAGUAAUACAAACCUUGGCAACCAUGGGAAAGGUAUGGGUUCCCUCUGUAACCCGACUUGCAGUUGCAUCGGUAUCCUGAAACGGAAUUGCUACCUCGCAACACCCAACACCAGAGCAUGACCCAUCGACCACAUUGCGAAGGCUAUUACAUACAGACGUGCACCCGAUCGUGUACCGUUCUCCUUUCUGGAACCCAUGAAGGGAACAAACUUUGGUCAAGCCAAAUGGAUAUGGAAUUUCUACAUCUCCACACUUGUUGGGGCAGCCAUCAGCCGGCUUGACUAGAGAUGCUGCUGCCACCAGUACUGGUGAUAUUAUCAGCCUUAUCAGUGAUAUCCGGACGAGCAUCCCAUGUAAGCCCAUCUCCUCCAACUCUGUUUCUCAGCAAAAAUAGUCUUUUAUUUUCUAUUUUGUGUUUGGAUGUGCUGAAACUUUCUAGCAGUCCUGCACCUUUGGAAAAUAUUAUAUCCUGUAGCGGGAGUAGGAAACCAAAAAUUUGUCCUCCAUCUUUAUAGAAGGGACCAAGGGACACAACCCAACAAUCGAAGAUGCUAUGACUAUCCUUGUUUAAGUUGAAUCUUGAAUCACUUUACUGUCAAAACUCACAGGUACAAUGAACGCAUAGCGGCCUGUAGCAUGGUGUCUUAAUUUGGAUUCAAGUGUCUACUCAAUGUUAUAUUAUUUGCCCAAACAACACACCAAACAAUUUUUAUGUGCAAAAAAGGAUAAGAAUGUACACGUGUGAACCUAGUGCUAGGGGCUUUGAGCAGUUUACAUUGAAGUAGUUCACAGUGCAAAGUAGCAUUCAUCUGUUGUGAUGCUUGUGAUAAACUUCUCAACAGUUUCAGUGCUCGUAUGCACUGAAUCCAAUCGUUUGAUAAGUACAAAGAAAGUCUCAAAAGAAAAAGUAAAGUGGUCUACUGUUCCAAGCUAAAGAGGCUUUAAUAGAUAGCGGCUAGCUGAUUACUAUUAACAGUCGGCCACCAAACUAUUGUGAAAUUUUUUGUUCUUUUUGAUAUUUUAUUUGUGAUGGAAGCCUUAUUUUGUUGUUUAGUGGUUGCUAUCCGAUUAAGUGGGCCCAGGCAAAAGUAAAAGUGGCAAAGCACUAAACAACAAGAAAGAAUUCAAUGGCUCAUUGUGUCUCUGUAUUUGUUGCAAUCAAAGUCAGUGAGUGUGCAACACAUUAUCUAGAGUUGAUCGAUUCAAAUCUCAAAAAAA